UUUAAUUGAAGAGUUUGAUCAUGGCUCAGAUUGAACGCUGGCGGCAGGCUUAACACAUGCAAGUCGAGCGGUAGCACARGGGAGCUUGCUCCCUGGGUGACGAGCGGCGGACGGGUGAGUAAUGUCUGGGAAACUGCCUGAUGGAGGGGGAUAACUACUGGAAACGGUAGCUAAUACCGCAUAACGUCGCAAGACCAAAGAGGGGGACCUUCGGGCCUCUUGCCAUCAGAUGUGCCCAGAUGGGAUUAGCUAGUAGGUGGGGUAAUGGCUCACCUAGGCGACGAUCCCUAGCUGGUCUGAGAGGAUGACCAGCCACACUGGAACUGAGACACGGUCCAGACUCCUACGGGAGGCAGCAGUGGGGAAUAUUGCACAAUG
Molecule: ribosomal RNA, 378 nt
Filed under: Serratia nematodiphila
Lineage: Bacteria; Pseudomonadati; Pseudomonadota; Gammaproteobacteria; Enterobacterales; Yersiniaceae
Description: bacterial SSU rRNA
Rfam family: Bacterial small subunit ribosomal RNA
Source: RNAcentral